RNAcentral lists this ribosomal RNA (549 nucleotides) under uncultured Glomus. Its description in RNAcentral is "SSU rRNA". It matches the Rfam family "Eukaryotic small subunit ribosomal RNA", at positions 548 to 1098 of the family's 1831-position model. Lineage: Eukaryota; Fungi; Glomeromycota; Glomeromycetes; Glomerales; Glomeraceae. The record is from RNAcentral.
UUGGAGGGCAAGUCUGGUGCCAGCAGCCGCGGUAAUUCCAGCUCCAAUAGCGUAUAUUAAAGUUGUUGCAGUUAAAAAGCUCGUAGUUGAAUUUCGGGGUCAGCAGGUUGGUCGUGCCAAUGGUAUGCACUGGCCUUGCUGAUUCCUCCCUCUUGAUGAGCCGUAAUGCCAUUAAUUUGGUGUUGCGGGGAAUCAGGACUGUUACUUUGAAAAAAUUAGAGUGUUUAAAGCAGGCAAGCGCUUGAAUACAUUAGCAUGGAAUAAUGAAAUAGGACGUCUGAUCCUAUUUUGUUGGUUUCUAGGAUUGACGUAAUGAUUAAUAGGGAUAGUUGGGGGCAUUAGUAUUCAAUUGUCAGAGGUGAAAUUCUUGGAUUUAUUGAAGACUAACUACUGCGAAAGCAUUUGCCAAGGAUGUUUUCAUUAAUCAAGAACGAAAGUUAGGGGAUCGAAGACGAUCAGAUACCGUCGUAGUCUUAACCAUAAACUAUGCCGACUAGGGAUCGGAUGAUGUUAAUUUUUUAAUGACUCAUUCGGCGCCUUACGGGAAAC